GAUGAAGAACGCAGCGAAAUGCGAUAAGUAAUGUGAAUUGCAGAAUUCAGUGAAUCAUCGAAUCUUUGAACGCACAUUGCGCCCCCUGGUAUUCCGGGGGGCAUGCCUGUCCGAGCGUCAUUACAACCCUCAAGCUCAGCUUGGUAUUGGGCCCCGCCGACCCGGCGGGCCCUAAAGUCAGUGGCGGUGCCGUCCGGCUCCGAGCGUAGUAAUUCUUCUCGCUCUGGAGGUCCGGUCGUGUGCUCGCCAGCAACCCCCAAUUUUUUUCAGGUUGACCUCGGAUCAGGUAGGGAUACCCGCUGAACUUAAGCAUAUCAAUAAGGGAGGA
Molecule: unclassified non-coding RNA, 328 nt
Filed under: soil metagenome
Description: partial contains 5.8S ribosomal RNA, internal transcribed spacer 2, and large subunit ribosomal RNA
Rfam family: 5.8S ribosomal RNA (bases 1-120)
Source: RNAcentral